This 667-nucleotide ribosomal RNA is filed under the name uncultured Bacilli bacterium. Its description in RNAcentral is "bacterial SSU rRNA". It matches the Rfam family "Bacterial small subunit ribosomal RNA", at positions 82 to 735 of the family's 1533-position model. Lineage: Bacteria; Bacillati; Bacillota; Bacilli. The record is from RNAcentral.
CGGAAAAAGAGGAGUGGCGAACGGGUGAGUAACACGUGGGUAACCUGCCCAUCAGAAGGGGAUAACACUUGGAAACAGGUGCUAAUACCGUAUAACAAUCAAAACCGCAUGGUUUUGAUUUGAAAGGCGCUUUCGGGUGUCGCUGAUGGAUGGACCCGCGGUGCAUUAGCUAGUUGGUGAGGUAACGGCUCACCAAGGCCACGAUGCAUAGCCGACCUGAGAGGGUGAUCGGCCACAUUGGGACUGAGACACGGCCCAAACUCCUACGGGAGGCAGCAGUAGGGAAUCUUCGGCAAUGGACGAAAGUCUGACCGAGCAACGCCGCGUGAGUGAAGAAGGUUUUCGGAUCGUAAAACUCUGUUGUUAGAGAAGAACAAGGAUGAGAGUAACUGUUCAUCCCUUGACGGUAUCUAACCAGAAAGCCACGGCUAACUACGUGCCAGCAGCCGCGGUAAUACGUAGGUGGCAAGCGUUGUCCGGAUUUAUUGGGCGUAAAGCGAGCGCAGGCGGUUUCUUAAGUCUGAUGUGAAAGCCCCCGGCUCAACCGGGGAGGGUCAUUGGAAACUGGGAGACUUGAGUGCAGAAGAGGAGAGUGGAAUUCCAUGUGUAGCGGUGAAAUGCGUAGAUAUAUGGAGGAACACCAGUGGCGAAGGCGGCUCUCUGGUCU